RNAcentral lists this ribosomal RNA (472 nucleotides) under uncultured bacterium. RNAcentral describes it as "bacterial SSU rRNA". It matches the Rfam family "Bacterial small subunit ribosomal RNA", at positions 329 to 794 of the family's 1533-position model. The record is from RNAcentral.
ACCCAGACUCCUACGGGAGGCAGCAGUGGGGAAUCUUCCGCAAUGGGCGAAAGCCUGACGGAGCAACGCCGCGUGAUCGAAUGAGGGCCUUCGGGUUGUAAAGAUCUGUUGACAGGGACGAAUAAGCAAUGCGAAUAGUUUUGUGUAUGACGGUACCUGUUUAGAAAGCUCCGGCUAACUACGUGCCAGCAGCCGCGGUAAUACGUAGGGGGCAAGCGUUAUCCGGAUUUACUGGGUGUAAAGGGAGCGUAGACGGUGAGACAAGUCUGGAGUGAAAGCCCGGGGCUCAACCCCGGGACUGCUUUGGAAACUGCCUGACUGGAGUGCUGGAGAGGCAAGCGGAAUUCCUAGUGUAGCGGUGAAAUGCGUAGAUAUUAGGAAGAACACCAGUGGCGAAGGCGGCUUGCUGGACAGUAACUGACGUUGAGGCUCGAAAGCGUGGGGAGCAAACAGGAUUAGAUACCCGCGUAAA